RNAcentral lists this ribosomal RNA (441 nucleotides) under uncultured bacterium. Its description in RNAcentral is "partial 16S ribosomal RNA". It matches the Rfam family "Bacterial small subunit ribosomal RNA", at positions 338 to 795 of the family's 1533-position model. The record is from RNAcentral.
CCUACGGGAGGCUGCAGUGGGGAAUAUUGCACAAUGGGGGAAACCCUGAUGCAGCGACACCGCGUGAGUGAAGAAUUACUUCGGUAUGUAAAGCUCUAUCAGCAGCGAAGAAAAAAGACGGUAUCUGACUAAGAAGCCCCGACUAACUACGUGCCAGCAGCCGCGGUAAUACGUAAGGGGCCAGCGUUCUCCGGAUUUACGGUGUGUAAAGGGAGCGUAGACGGUAUGGCAAGUCUGAAGUGAAAGCCCAGGGCUUAACCCGUGGACUGCUUUGGAAACUGUUUGACUAGAGUGCUUGAGGGGUAAGUAGAAUUCCAAGUGUAGCGGUGAAAUGCGUAGAUAUGAGGAGGAAUACCAGAGGCGAAGGCGGCUUACUGGGCAGUAACUGACGUUGAGGCUCGAAAGCGUGGGGAGCAAACAGGAUUAGAUACCCCUGUAGUC